ACCUGGACCCGGACUGGCAGGGCUACGCAGGGUUCGGCGAGGCGGACUGGAGCUCCGAAGGGCGUGGGUGUCUACGCACGGACUCCGAAGCGCCUCCUACCGGCCGACCUUGAGCGGGAGUGGCGCAGCGGCUGCGCGGAGACCCACAUUGCCGCCGCAGGUACCCGCUCCCUUGCAUCUCGGUUGCAGCUGGUGCCUCGCGCGCUUCGGGGGCAGCGCCAGGGGCGUCUGGCAUCUCAUGCAUAAAUGAGUCGCAAUGUAGGAUGAAGGAUGCCAAAGGGCGGAGCGAGGCUGUCAUGGAAAGCAUGGCGUCCUCCUUGGAACGCCCGUCCUCACUGCCCUCGCAUUCCCUCUCAGCCCAUGUGAAUGUCUGCAGCACCAAUAUCCAUGUGCUUCAGCCGGAUCCUGCACGCAAUUGCACUCGCGGACGUCACGAGUAUGACGUCAGCGAUGGCGCCGGCGGCCCAUGCUCCCGCUCACUCAGAACGUUCAUCACCAACGUUUUACGUCAUGUGGUUUGCAUCAACUCAUUACCUUACAAAAACGCAUUUCUGUAGAAUAAAGCGGCGAUGUUG
This is a long non-coding RNA of Penaeus monodon (black tiger shrimp), 575 nucleotides long. RefSeq lists it as uncharacterized. The record is from RefSeq and is a predicted model, not a curated record. The transcript has 2 exons. Lineage: Eukaryota; Metazoa; Arthropoda; Malacostraca; Decapoda; Penaeidae.